RNAcentral lists this transfer RNA (72 nucleotides) under Cronartium ribicola 11-2. RNAcentral describes it as "tRNA-Und (NNN) (tRNA-Und-NNN-57-1)". It matches the Rfam family "tRNA". From Rfam's summary of the family: Transfer RNA (tRNA) molecules are approximately 80 nucleotides in length. Their secondary structure includes four short double-helical elements and three loops (D, anti-codon, and T loops). Further hydrogen bonds mediate the characteristic L-shaped molecular structure. tRNAs have two regions of fundamental functional importance: the anti-codon, which is responsible for specific mRNA codon recognition, and the 3' end, to which the tRNAs corresponding amino acid is attached (by aminoacyl-tRNA synthetases). tRNAs cope with the degeneracy of the genetic code in two manners: having more than one tRNA (with a specific anti-codon) for a particular amino acid; and 'wobble' base-pairing, i.e. permitting non-standard base-pairing at the 3rd anti-codon position. The record is from RNAcentral. Lineage: Eukaryota; Fungi; Basidiomycota; Pucciniomycetes; Pucciniales; Coleosporiaceae.
GUGUGCAUAGCUCAGUGGUUAGAGACUCCCUCUGGAUUGAGGCAGUCAUGGGUUUGAAUCCCAUUGCACACA